This is a small nuclear RNA of Nicotiana attenuata, 106 nucleotides long. Lineage: Eukaryota; Viridiplantae; Streptophyta; Magnoliopsida; Solanales; Solanaceae. The record is from Rfam.
GAUCUUUCUAUCGAAUGUCCGUUAAAAAUUGGAACUAUAUAGCGAAGAUUAGCAUGAGCCCUGCACAAGGAUGGCACGAACAAAUCGAGGAAUGGUGCCAAAACAA